UGGUGGUGUUUAAAAGAAAAUUACCCUAAGAGCACAGAGAGGAUGUUGUGAUGAAACUCUCCAAGUGAAGGUGGUGAAUUUGCCAUGUUGAUGAUGACUUAGACAAAGUCAUCCUUCUGGUAAGAAGCAGAGCCAUCAUCUCGAUCCUCAGUGCAGCUUGGCAGGGAGAAGUUCCAUGUCACAUAGUGCACAAGUGAGCUGAUACUGCAGCAGCACUCCUGGGAGAAGCUGCCACUUUGGUUCCAAAGUAUGGGUGCAGUAAGUAUUAUUCUUUUUUGCUUAAAGAGAUGACAGUGUUUUAAAUAAUAAAACAACAAUGCAAAGACUAGAGGGAAGAGCU
RNAcentral lists this long non-coding RNA (340 nucleotides) under Parus major (Great Tit). RNAcentral's name for it is "lncRNA (ENSPMJG00000015415.1)". The record is from RNAcentral. Lineage: Eukaryota; Metazoa; Chordata; Aves; Passeriformes; Paridae.